CUACGGGAGGCAGCAGCAAGGGAUAUUGCGCAAUGGCCUAACGGCUGACGCAGCGACGCCGCGUGGGGGACGAAGGCUCUCGGGUCGUAAACCCCUUUUGUGUGGGACGAAGACUGACGGUACCGCACGAAGAAGCCCCGGCUAACUACGUGCCAGCAGCCGCGGUAAUACGUAGGGGGCGAGCGUUGUCCGGAUUUACUGGGCGUAAAGCGUCCGCAGGCGGCUCGUUAAGUCCGGUGUGAAAGCCCUCCGCUCAACGGGGGGAGGUCAUCGGAGACUGGCGGGCUGGAGGAUGGCAGAGGGGGACGGAAUUCCCGGAGUAGUGGUGAUAUGCGUAGAGACCGGGAGGAACACCGGCGGCGAAGGCGGUCCCCUGGGCCACUCCUGACGCUCAUGGACGAAAGCGUGGGGAGCGAACCGGAUUAGAUACCCCAGUAGUCUG
Molecule: ribosomal RNA, 442 nt
Filed under: uncultured bacterium
Lineage: Bacteria
Description: bacterial SSU rRNA
Rfam family: Bacterial small subunit ribosomal RNA
Source: RNAcentral